This 370-nucleotide long non-coding RNA is filed under the name Ananas comosus (pineapple). RNAcentral describes it as "long non-coding RNA (ACOM_LNC009922)". Lineage: Eukaryota; Viridiplantae; Streptophyta; Magnoliopsida; Poales; Bromeliaceae. The record is from RNAcentral.
GCUAGACCGACUCUUUCUCUCAUCCCGAUUUUAUUUUCCACUCGUUUUCUCUCCCUCUCUUCUUUCUUCUUCUAUUUUUCUUCUUUCGUCUUCUCCUAGUUUCUUCUACUUUUCUCUUUUUUUUUUCUUUCUUCCUCCUUUUCUCUUCUUUUUUUUUUCUUCUUUUUUCUUUUCUUCCUCCUUUGUUUUCUUAUCUUCUUUCCUUUUUGUCAUUCCUCUCUAUUUUUCUUCUCUUUACUUUUUUUCUCCUUCUCUUCUUUCUUCCUUUUCUCUUCUUUUCGUCUCUUUUUCUUCUCCUGCUUCUUUUCUAAACGACCUUCUCAAUGAGCCCGCCUUUCACUACAAGAAAGCGUCCACUACAACAGAAUUA